UCUAUACUCCCUCCAUUCCAAAUUACUUGUCGGAAAAACGGAUGUAUCUAGAACUAAAAUACAUCUAGAUACAUCCAUACCUGCGACAAGUAAUUCAGAACGGAGGGAGUAUUAA
Molecule: non-coding RNA, 115 nt
Organism: Triticum aestivum (bread wheat)
Lineage: Eukaryota; Viridiplantae; Streptophyta; Magnoliopsida; Poales; Poaceae
Source: Rfam